AGAACGAACGCUGGCGGCAUGCCUAACACAUGCAAGUCGAACGAGACCUUCGGGUCUAGUGGCGCACGGGUGCGUAACGCGUGGGAAUCUGCCCUUGGGUUCGGGAUAACAGUUGGAAACGACUGCUAAUACCGGAUGAUGACUUCGGUCCAAAGAUUUAUCGCCCAGGGAUGAGCCCGCGUAGGAUUAGCUUGUUGGUGAGGUAAGAGCUCACCAAGGCGACGAUCCUUAGCUGGUCUGAGAGGAUGAUCAGCCACACUGGGACUGAGACACGGCCAGACCUCGUACGGAGGCAGACAGGUGGGGAAUAGUUACGGAACAAGUGGGACGAAAGGCCU
Molecule: ribosomal RNA, 338 nt
Filed under: uncultured soil bacterium
Lineage: Bacteria
Description: bacterial SSU rRNA
Rfam family: Bacterial small subunit ribosomal RNA
Source: RNAcentral